RNAcentral lists this unclassified non-coding RNA (376 nucleotides) under Hevea brasiliensis (rubber tree). Lineage: Eukaryota; Viridiplantae; Streptophyta; Magnoliopsida; Malpighiales; Euphorbiaceae. The record is from RNAcentral.
GAUGCAGUACUGUGUUUCAUGUGCAAUUCACUCCAAGGUGGUUAGAGUCCGCUCUCGUACUGAUAGGAGAGUUCGCGAGCCUCCACAGCGUUUCAGGCGCCCAAGGGAUGAUCUUCCAAAGACAGGACAAGCUCCACGCCCCGCUGGAGGACCCCCUGCUGCUCCACGCACUUAAAUUAUUAGGAUUCAGGUUUUGGUUAAUCUGAUAGUUAUGGCGUGUUUUACAUGUGGUGGUUUUGACAGUGUACUGUUUUCAUUUAGAUAAUGGGACAUAUUACCAUGUUAUGGAAUUAAAUUUUGAAUGGAAACCAGAUAUUUAAGUUUUCUUAAUGGACGACUUUUAAUUUGUGUUUCUGAUAACUUGCCAACGUCUGGC